UACGUAGGGUGCGAGCGUUAAUCGGAAUUACUGGGCGUAAAGCGCGCGCAGGCGGUUCGCUAAGACCGAUGUGAAAUCCCCGGGCUUAACCUGGGAACUGCAUUGGUGACUGGCGGGCUAGAGUAUGGCAGAGGGGGGGUAGAAUUCCACGUGUAGCAGUGAAAUGCGUAGAGAUGUGGAGGAAUACCGAUGGCGAAGGCAGCCCCCUGGGCCAAUACUGACGCUCAUGCACGAAAGCGUGGGGAGCAAACAGG
This 254-nucleotide ribosomal RNA is filed under the name uncultured bacterium. RNAcentral describes it as "partial 16S ribosomal RNA". It matches the Rfam family "Bacterial small subunit ribosomal RNA", at positions 524 to 776 of the family's 1533-position model. The record is from RNAcentral.